GAGCGGAAUUUUACUCAAACUACCUCAAGCUGUGAUGGCCACUGGUCAAGUUCUAUUCCAUCGGUUCUAUUGCAAAAAGUCAUUUGCCCGAUUUGAUGUCAAGAAAGUUGCAGCUAGUUGUGUCUGGCUUGCAUCUAAACUAGAGGAAAGCCCUCGGAAGUCGAGGCAAGUCAUUAUUGUUUUUCAUAGAAUGGAAUGCAGGAGAGAGAAUUUACCUAUAGAAUUUUUGGACCUAAAUUCAAAGAAAUUUGCAGAGUUGAAGGUAGAACUGAGCAGAACAGAAAGACACAUAUUAAAAGAGAUGGGUUUUGUUUGUCAUGUUGAGCAUCCCCACAAAUUCAUCUCAAACUACCUUGCCACCCUCGAAACACCUCCAGAAUUGAGACAAGAAGCUUGGAAUCUUACAAAUGAUAGUUUGCGGACAACCUUGUGCGUUCGUUUCAAGAGUGAGGUUGUGGCUUGUGGGGUUGUAUAUGCCGCUGUCCGUAGGUUCCAGGUACCCCUUCCUGAGAAUCCACCAUGGUGGAAGGCAUUUGAUGCAGAUAAAUCUGGGAUUGAUGAAGUUUGUAGAGUUCUGGCUCACUUGUACAGCCUUCCCAAGGCAAAGUACAUAUCGGUCUGCAAGGAUGGAGAUUUUUCUUUUUCUAGCAAGUCUUCAGAUUCACAACUUCAAUCAGUUCCAAAGGAAGUUCUGCAGGGUGGCUCACCAGCUAAUGAUGUUGUUGCCCCUAAGGCAGCCUCAACUGUUGUUAGUGUUGAAUCUGGCGGUUCAAAGGGUGCAAUAAAAGCAGCUCUAGACAAGCUGAAGGAAUCUAAGAAGAG
This 822-nucleotide unclassified non-coding RNA is filed under the name Hevea brasiliensis (rubber tree). Lineage: Eukaryota; Viridiplantae; Streptophyta; Magnoliopsida; Malpighiales; Euphorbiaceae. The record is from RNAcentral.